RNAcentral lists this ribosomal RNA (470 nucleotides) under Bacillus australimaris. Its description in RNAcentral is "bacterial SSU rRNA". It matches the Rfam family "Bacterial small subunit ribosomal RNA", at positions 16 to 474 of the family's 1533-position model. Lineage: Bacteria; Bacillati; Bacillota; Bacilli; Caryophanales; Bacillaceae. The record is from RNAcentral.
AUCCUGGCUCAGGACGAACGCUGGCGGCGUGCCUAAUACAUGCAAGUCGAGCGGACAGAAGGGAGCUUGCUCCCGGAUGUUAGCGGCGGACGGGUGAGUAACACGUGGGUAACCUGCCUGUAAGACUGGGAUAACUCCGGGAAACCGGAGCUAAUACCGGAUAGUUCCUUGAACCGCAUGGUUCAAGGAUGAAAGACGGUUUCGGCUGUCACUUACAGAUGGACCCGCGGCGCAUUAGCUAGUUGGUGGGGUAAUGGCUCACCAAGGCGACGAUGCGUAGCCGACCUGAGAGGGUGAUCGGCCACACUGGGACUGAGACACGGCCCAGACUCCUACGGGAGGCAGCAGUAGGGAAUCUUCCGCAAUGGACGAAAGUCUGACGGAGCAACGCCGCGUGAGUGAUGAAGGUUUUCGGAUCGUAAAGCUCUGUUGUUAGGGAAGAACAAGUACGAGAGUAACUGCUUGUAACU